Molecule: ribosomal RNA, 479 nt
Filed under: Streptococcus mutans
Lineage: Bacteria; Bacillati; Bacillota; Bacilli; Lactobacillales; Streptococcaceae
Description: bacterial SSU rRNA
Rfam family: Bacterial small subunit ribosomal RNA
Source: RNAcentral
GACGAACGCGGGGGCGUGCUUAAUACAUGCAAGUGGGACGCAAGGAAACACACUGUGCUUGCACACCGUGUUUUCUUGAGUCGCGAACGGGUGAGUAACGCGUAGGUAACCUGCCAUAAGCGGGGGAUAACUAUGGGAAACGAUAGCUAAUACCGCAUAAUAUUAAUUAUUGCAUGAUAAUUGAUUGAAAGAUGCAAGCGCAUCACUAGUAGAUGGACCUGCGUUGUAUAAGCUAGUUGGUAAGGUAAGAGCUUACCAAGGCGACGAUACAUAGCCGACCUGAGAGGGUGAUCGGCCACACUGGGACUGAGACACGGCCCAGACUCCUACGGGAGGCAGCAGUAGGGAAUCUUCGGCAAUGGACGAAAGUCUGACCGAGCAACGCCGCGUGAGUGAAGGAGGUUUUCGGAUCGUAAAGCUCUGUUGUAAGUCAAGAACGUGUGUGAGAGUGGAAAGUUCACACAGUGACGGAGCUACCA